RNAcentral lists this transfer RNA (85 nucleotides) under Nitrososphaerota archaeon. RNAcentral describes it as "tRNA-Leu". It matches the Rfam family "tRNA". Rfam says of the family: Transfer RNA (tRNA) molecules are approximately 80 nucleotides in length. Their secondary structure includes four short double-helical elements and three loops (D, anti-codon, and T loops). RNAcentral also lists the same sequence under 1 other name. Lineage: Archaea; Thermoproteati; Nitrososphaerota. The record is from RNAcentral.
GCGGGGGUGGCCGAGCCAGGUCAAAGGCGGCGGCCUCAAGAGCCGCUCCCGUAGGGGUUCGUGGGUUCGAAUCCCACCCCCCGCA